GCAAGUCGAACGAGGUCCUUCGGAGCCUAGUGGCGCACGGCUGCGUAACGCGUGGGAAUCUGCCCGUUGGUACGGGACAACAGCGGGAAACUGAUGCUAAUAACGUAUGAUGAAGUAAGUCUAAAGAUUUCUCGCCAGAAGAUGAGCCUGCGUCGGAUUAGCUAGUUGGUGGGGUAAAGGCCUACCAAGGCUACGAUCCUUAGCUGGUCUGAGAGGAUGAUC
This 222-nucleotide ribosomal RNA is filed under the name uncultured bacterium. RNAcentral's name for it is "partial 16S ribosomal RNA". It matches the Rfam family "Bacterial small subunit ribosomal RNA", at positions 57 to 305 of the family's 1533-position model. The record is from RNAcentral.